Molecule: ribosomal RNA, 253 nt
Filed under: uncultured bacterium
Lineage: Bacteria
Also listed under: 2 other names
Description: partial 16S ribosomal RNA
Rfam family: Bacterial small subunit ribosomal RNA
Source: RNAcentral
GACGAACCGUGCGAACGUUGUUCGGAAUCACUGGGCUUAAAGGGCGCGUAGGCGGGCUGUCAAGUCUGGGGUGAAAUGCCGCGGCUCAACCGUGGAACUGCCUUAGAUACUGACGGCCUCGAGGAAGGUAGGGGCAUGCGGAACUGUAGGUGGAGCGGUGAAAUGCGUUGAUAUCUACAGGAACUCCGGUGGCGAAAGCGGCGUGCUGGACCUUUUCUGACGCUGAGGCGCGAAAGCUAGGGGAGCAAACGGG